RNAcentral lists this long non-coding RNA (247 nucleotides) under Capsicum annuum. RNAcentral describes it as "long non-coding RNA (CANN_LNC009309)". The record is from RNAcentral. Lineage: Eukaryota; Viridiplantae; Streptophyta; Magnoliopsida; Solanales; Solanaceae.
UCAUAUUAUGUACAGGAAUAAUUGGAAGAUCAAGAUUUAUAUUGUAGUUUUAGUAACGUUUAAGUGUCUUUUGGCUCUUUCACUAAUGUCUCAACAGUUAUAUCAGAGACUUUAAGUAGAAUUAAGGUGAAAAUUAAAGAACAAAUUAAAUAGAUUAAACAAAUAAAUGCAAAAAAAAAAAAAAAAAAAAAAAAAAAAAAAAAAAAAAAAAAAAAAAAAAAAAAAAAAAAAAAAAAAAAUAUAUAUA